GACGAACGCUGGCGGCGUGCUUAACACAUGCAAGUCGAACGGAAAGGCCCUGCUUUUGUGGGGUGCUCGAGUGGCGAACGGGUGAGUAACACGUGAGUAACCUGCCCUUGACUUUGGGAUAACUUCAGGAAACUGGGGCUAAUACCGGAUAGGAGCUCCUGCUGCAUGGUGGGGGUUGGAAAGUUUCGGCGGUUGGGGACGGACUCGCGGCUCAUCAGCUUGUUGGUGGGGUAGUGGCUUACCAAGGCUUUGACGGGUAGACGGCCUGGGAGGGUGACCGGCCACAUUGGGACUGAGAUACGGCCCAGACUCCUACGGGAGGCAGCGGUGGGGAAUUUUGCACAAUGGGCGGAAGCCGUAUGCAGCAACGCCGCGUGCUGGAUCACGGCCUUCGGGUUGUAAACCGCUUUCGCCUGUGACGAAGCGUGAGUGACGGUAAUGGGUAAAGAAGCACCGGCUAACUACGUG
Molecule: ribosomal RNA, 468 nt
Filed under: uncultured bacterium
Lineage: Bacteria
Description: partial 16S ribosomal RNA
Rfam family: Bacterial small subunit ribosomal RNA
Source: RNAcentral